Molecule: ribosomal RNA, 369 nt
Filed under: uncultured organism
Description: bacterial SSU rRNA
Rfam family: Bacterial small subunit ribosomal RNA
Source: RNAcentral
CGUAGGUGCAAGCGUUAAUCGGAAUGACUGGGCGUAAAGGGUGCGCAGGCGGUUUGCUAAGACAGAUGUGAAAUCCCCGGGCUUAACCUGGGAACAGCAUACGUGACUGGCAGGCUAGAGUAUAGAAGAGGGGGGUAGAAUUCCACGUGUAGCAGUGAAAUGCGUAGAGAUGUGGAGGAAUACCGAUGGCGAAGGCAGCCCCCUGGUCAUAUACUGACGCUGAGGCACGAAAGCGUGGGGAGCAAACAGGAUUAGAUACCCUGGUAGUCCACGCCCUAGACGAUGUCUACUAGUUGUCGGGGGGUAACUCCUUCGGUAACGCAGCUAACGCGUGAAGUAGACCGCCUGGGGAGUACGGUCGCAAGAUUA